Molecule: transfer RNA, 71 nt
Filed under: Camelus bactrianus (Bactrian camel)
Lineage: Eukaryota; Metazoa; Chordata; Mammalia; Artiodactyla; Camelidae
Also listed under: 3 other names
Rfam family: tRNA
About the family: Transfer RNA (tRNA) molecules are approximately 80 nucleotides in length. Their secondary structure includes four short double-helical elements and three loops (D, anti-codon, and T loops). Further hydrogen bonds mediate the characteristic L-shaped molecular structure. tRNAs have two regions of fundamental functional importance: the anti-codon, which is responsible for specific mRNA codon recognition, and the 3' end, to which the tRNAs corresponding amino acid is attached (by aminoacyl-tRNA synthetases). tRNAs cope with the degeneracy of the genetic code in two manners: having more than one tRNA (with a specific anti-codon) for a particular amino acid; and 'wobble' base-pairing, i.e. permitting non-standard base-pairing at the 3rd anti-codon position.
Source: Rfam by way of RNAcentral
AGAGGAUAGCUCAGUGGUAGAGUGUGAGCUUUGCAUGCACAAGGUCCUGGGUUCAAUCCUCAGUAUCUCUG